Molecule: ribosomal RNA, 2163 nt
Filed under: Escherichia coli O26:H11
Lineage: Bacteria; Pseudomonadati; Pseudomonadota; Gammaproteobacteria; Enterobacterales; Enterobacteriaceae
Description: bacterial LSU rRNA
Rfam family: Bacterial large subunit ribosomal RNA
Source: RNAcentral
CGAAGGGAAACCGAGUCUUAACUGGGCGUUAAGUUGCAGGGUAUAGACCCGAAACCCGGUGAUCUAGCCAUGGGCAGGUUGAAGGUUGGGUAACACUAACUGGAGGACCGAACCGACUAAUGUUGAAAAAUUAGCGGAUGACUUGUGGCUGGGGGUGAAAGGCCAAUCAAACCGGGAGAUAGCUGGUUCUCCCCGAAAGCUAUUUAGGUAGCGCCUCGUGAAUUCAUCUCCGGGGGUAGAGCACUGUUUCGGCAAGGGGGUCAUCCCGACUUACCAACCCGAUGCAAACUGCGAAUACCGGAGAAUGUUAUCACGGGAGACACACGGCGGGUGCUAACGUCCGUCGUGAAGAGGGAAACAACCCAGACCGCCAGCUAAGGUCCCAAAGUCAUGGUUAAGUGGGAAACGAUGUGGGAAGGCCCAGACAGCCAGGAUGUUGGCUUAGAAGCAGCCAUCAUUUAAAGAAAGCGUAAUAGCUCACUGGUCGAGUCGGCCUGCGCGGAAGAUGUAACGGGGCUAAACCAUGCACCGAAGCUGCGGCAGCGACGCUGAUGCGUUGUUGGGUAGGGGAGCGUUCUGUAAGCCUGCGAAGGUGUGCUGUGAGGCAUGCUGGAGGUAUCAGAAGUGCGAAUGCUGACAUAAGUAACGAUAAAGCGGGUGAAAAGCCCGCUCGCCGGAAGACCAAGGGUUCCUGUCCAACGUUAAUCGGGGCAGGGUGAGUCGACCCCUAAGGCGAGGCCGAAAGGCGUAGUCGAUGGGAAACAGGUUAAUAUUCCUGUACUUGGUGUUACUGCGAAGGGGGGACGGAGAAGGCUAUGUUGGCCGGGCGACGGUUGUCCCGGUUUAAGCGUGUAGGCUGGUUUUCCAGGCAAAUCCGGAAAAUCAAGGCUGAGGCGUGAUGACGAGGCACUGCGGUGCUGAAGCAACAAAUGCCCUGCUUCCAGGAAAAGCCUCUAAGCAUCAGGUAACAUCAAAUCGUACCCCAAACCGACACAGGUGGUCAGGUAGAGAAUACCAAGGCGCUUGAGAGAACUCGGGUGAAGGAACUAGGCAAAAUGGUGCCGUAACUUCGGGAGAAGGCACGCUGAUAUGUAGGUGAAGUCCCUCGCGGAUGGAGCUGAAAUCAGUCGAAGAUACCAGCUGGCUGCAACUGUUUAUUAAAAACACAGCACUGUGCAAACACGAAAGUGGACGUAUACGGUGUGACGCCUGCCCGGUGCCGGAAGGUUAAUUGAUGGGGUUAGCGCAAGCGAAGCUCUUGAUCGAAGCCCCGGUAAACGGCGGCCGUAACUAUAACGGUCCUAAGGUAGCGAAAUUCCUUGUCGGGUAAGUUCCGACCUGCACGAAUGGCGUAAUGAUGGCCAGGCUGUCUCCACCCGAGACUCAGUGAAAUUGAACUCGCUGUGAAGAUGCAGUGUACCCGCGGCAAGACGGAAAGACCCCGUGAACCUUUACUAUAGCUUGACACUGAACAUUGAGCCUUGAUGUGUAGGAUAGGUGGGAGGCUUUGAAGUGUGGACGCCAGUCUGCAUGGAGCCGACCUUGAAAUACCACCCUUUAAUGUUUGAUGUUCUAACGUUGACCCGUAAUCCGGGUUGCGGACAGUGUCUGGUGGGUAGUUUGACUGGGGCGGUCUCCUCCUAAAGAGUAACGGAGGAGCACGAAGGUUGGCUAAUCCUGGUCGGACAUCAGGAGGUUAGUGCAAUGGCAUAAGCCAGCUUGACUGCGAGCGUGACGGCGCGAGCAGGUGCGAAAGCAGGUCAUAGUGAUCCGGUGGUUCUGAAUGGAAGGGCCAUCGCUCAACGGAUAAAAGGUACUCCGGGGAUAACAGGCUGAUACCGCCCAAGAGUUCAUAUCGACGGCGGUGUUUGGCACCUCGAUGUCGGCUCAUCACAUCCUGGGGCUGAAGUAGGUCCCAAGGGUAUGGCUGUUCGCCAUUUAAAGUGGUACGCGAGCUGGGUUUAGAACGUCGUGAGACAGUUCGGUCCCUAUCUGCCGUGGGCGCUGGAGAACUGAGGGGGGCUGCUCCUAGUACGAGAGGACCGGAGUGGACGCAUCACUGGUGUUCGGGUUGUCAUGCCAAUGGCACUGCCCGGUAGCUAAAUGCGGAAGAGAUAAGUGCUGAAAGCAUCUAAGCACGAAACUUGCCCCGAGAUGAGUUCU